AUCUAUAGCCAUGCCACCCUGAACAAGCCCGAUGUCUGAUCUCGGAAACUAAGCAGGUUCGGGCCUGAUUAGUAGUCGGAUGGGAGACCACCUAGGAAGAACAGAUGCUGUUGGCA
Molecule: ribosomal RNA, 116 nt
Filed under: Pteropus alecto (black flying fox)
Lineage: Eukaryota; Metazoa; Chordata; Mammalia; Chiroptera; Pteropodidae
Source: RNAcentral